CGGACGGGUGAGUAACGCGUGGGUAACCUGCCCUGUACACACGGAUAACAUACCGAAAGGUAUGCUAAUACGGGAUAAUAUAAGAAAUUCGCAUGUUUUUCUUAUCAAAGCUCCGGCGGUACAGGAUGGACCCGCGUCUGAUUAGCUAGUUGGUGAGGUAACGGCUCACCAAGGCAACGAUCAGUAGCCGACCUGAGAGGGUGAUCGGCCACAUUGGAACUGAGACACGGUCCAA
This 235-nucleotide ribosomal RNA is filed under the name uncultured bacterium. RNAcentral's name for it is "partial 16S ribosomal RNA". It matches the Rfam family "Bacterial small subunit ribosomal RNA", at positions 99 to 334 of the family's 1533-position model. The record is from RNAcentral.